Molecule: long non-coding RNA, 570 nt
Organism: Pelmatolapia mariae (spotted tilapia)
Lineage: Eukaryota; Metazoa; Chordata; Actinopteri; Cichliformes; Cichlidae
Exons: 3
Source: RefSeq, a predicted model, not a curated record
GAAGAAAAGAAAAAUAAAACGAGAAACCGUUUUAAACGAGCUCAGCAAGACCGCAUCCUCUCCCAACAAUGAAAAAUGCCCGGAUACCUCUUCAUAAUGCCCAGGGUGGUCCCAACUGUGUCGACCAUCUCUUGUCGGUAUGACUUGGCAGAGAUCACCGCAGCAGGCAGGAACACACUUCCCCUCAAUCAGCAGUUUCCAGCAGUUUCAAUUUCACAGCGCAGAAGAGAAGGUGAUAUCUGGCUCCGUGCUGUAAACACACUGUGAGCUGGAUGCUGCUGAUAUGUACACAAAAAAAGAUGGCACAUGUGUUGGCCAGAUGUGGUUACUAUUGUUGUAUUUGCUUUGCUGUGGUCAGUGAAAUCCAUUUAAAGCCUCUUUUUUUCUUACCGGAGAAAGUAUGAAUGUAUUUAUUACCCCCCUGAGUAAGAAAACCGUACCUCCGAGGAUGACUAAAAGCUGUCAGAGUUCCACGUUGUAGUGAUUUGGCCCAAGCCACAGACCAGCAGUGCAGUGCUUUUUACAAAUAAGGAGCUCUAGGUUGUGCAGGGGAACUGUGGGUAAACCUUA